RNAcentral lists this ribosomal RNA (253 nucleotides) under uncultured bacterium. Its description in RNAcentral is "partial 16S ribosomal RNA". It matches the Rfam family "Bacterial small subunit ribosomal RNA", at positions 524 to 776 of the family's 1533-position model. RNAcentral also lists the same sequence under 1 other name. The record is from RNAcentral.
UACGUAGGGCGCAAGCGUUGUCCGGAAUUAUUGGGCGUAAAGAGCUCGUAGGCGGCUGGUCGCGUCUGUCGUGAAAACUUCCGGCUCAACCGGGGGCUUGCGGUGGGUACGGGCCGGCUAGAGUGCGGUAGGGGUAACUGGAACUCCUGGUGUAGCGGUGGAAUGCGCAGAUAUCAGGAAGAACACCGAUGGCGAAGGCAGGUUACUGGGCCGUUACUGACGCUGAGGAGCGAAAGCGUGGGGAGCGAACAGG